CAGCCGCCGCGGGAAUACGUAGGGUGCAAGCGUUAAUCGGAAUUACUGGGCGUAAAGCGUGCGCAGGCGGCUAUGCAAGACAGAUGUGAAAUCCCCGGGCUCAACCUGGGAACUGCAUUUGUGACUGCAUGGCUAGAGUACGGUAGAGGGGGAUGGAAUUCCGCGUGUAGCAGUGAAAUGCGUAGGUAUGCGGAGGAACACCGAUGGCGAAGGCAAUCCCCUGGACCUGUACUGACGCUCAUGCACGAAAGCGUGGGGAGCAAACAGGAUUAGAUACCCCCGUAGUCCCUGUCUCUUAUAA
This 301-nucleotide ribosomal RNA is filed under the name uncultured bacterium. RNAcentral's name for it is "partial 16S ribosomal RNA". It matches the Rfam family "Bacterial small subunit ribosomal RNA", at positions 509 to 809 of the family's 1533-position model. The record is from RNAcentral.